This 1603-nucleotide long non-coding RNA is filed under the name Homo sapiens (human). RNAcentral describes it as "long non-coding RNA NONHSAT202679.1". The record is from RNAcentral. Lineage: Eukaryota; Metazoa; Chordata; Mammalia; Primates; Hominidae.
GAAAUCUCAUAGCAUAACUAAUAUGGAGAUUGGAGGGCUAAAAAUCUAUGAUAUUCUUAGUGAUAAUGGACCUCAGCAGCCAAGUACAACCGUUAAAAUCACAUCUGCUGUUGAUGGAAAAAAUAUAGUCAGGAGCAAGUCUGCCACACUGUUGUAUGAUCAACCAUUGCAGGUAUUUACUGGUUCUUCCUCAUCUUCUGAUUUAAUAUCAGGAACAAAGGCAAUUUUCAAGUUUGAUUCAAAUCAUAAUCCCGAAGAGCCAAAUAUAAUAAGAGGCCCCACAAGUGGCCCACAAUCUGCACCUCAAAUAUAUGGUCCUCCACAGUAUAAUAUCCAAUACAGUAGCAGUGCUGCAGUCAAAGACACUUUGUGGCACUCCAAACAAAAUCCCCAAAUAGACCAUGCCAGUUUUCCUCCUCAGCUCCUUCCUAGAUCAGAGAGCACAGAAAAUCAAAGUUAUGCUAAACAUUCUGCCAAUAUGAAUUUCUCUAAUCAUAACAAUGUUCGAGCUAAUACUGCAUACCAUUUACAUCAGAGACUUGGCCCAGCAAGACAUGGGGAAAUGUGGGCCAUCUCACCAAACGACCGACUUAUUCCUGCAGUAACUCGAAGUACAAUCCAGCGACAAAGUAGUGUGUCCUCCACAGCCUCUGUAAAUCUUGGUGAUCCAGGCUCUACAAGGCGGGCUCAGAUUCCUGAAGGAGAUUAUUUAUCAUACAGAGAGUUCCACUCAGCGGGAAGAACUCCUCCAAUGAUGCCAGGAUCACAGAGACCCCUUUCUGCACGAACAUACAGCAUAGAUGGUCCAAAUGCAUCAAGACCUCAGAGUGCUCGACCCUCUAUUAAUGAAAUACCAGAGAGAACUAUGUCAGUUAGUGAUUUCAAUUAUUCACGGACUAGUCCUUCAAAAAGACCAAAUGCAAGGGUUGGUUCUGAGCAUUCUUUAUUAGAUCCUCCAGGAAAAAGUAAAGUUCCUCGUGACUGGAGAGAACAAGUACUUCGACAUAUUGAAGCCAAAAAGUUAGAAAAGAUGCCUUUGAGUAAUGGACAGAUGGGCCAGCCUCUCAGGCCUCAGGCAAAUUAUAGUCAAAUACAUCACCCCCCUCAGGCAUCUGUGGCAAGGCAUCCCUCUAGAGAACAACUAAUUGAUUACUUGAUGCUGAAAGUGGCCCACCAGCCUCCAUAUACACAGCCCCAUUGUUCUCCUAGACAAGGCCAUGAACUGGCAAAACAAGAGUGAGGGUUGAAAAGGAUCCAGAACUUGGAUUUAGCAUAUCAGGUGGUGUCGGGGGUAGAGGAAACCCAUUCAGACCUGAUGAUGAUGGUAUAUUUGUAACAAGGGUACAACCUGAAGGACCAGCAUCAAAAUUACUGCAGCCAGGUGAUAAAAUUAUUCAGGCUAAUGGCUACAGUUUUAUAAAUAUUGAACAUGGACAAGCAGUGUCCUUGCUAAAAACUUUCCAGAAUACAGUUGAACUCAUCAUUGUACGAGAAGUUUCCUCAUAAGCACUGUGGACAAAAAAAGCGGGGAAGACAGCAAGAUUUAUUGGAAGAUACUUACAGGGGAAAUUAAUAUUUUGACUAUUUUUAUAUAUAAAGAAGA